This 368-nucleotide ribosomal RNA is filed under the name uncultured organism. RNAcentral's name for it is "bacterial SSU rRNA". It matches the Rfam family "Bacterial small subunit ribosomal RNA", at positions 526 to 896 of the family's 1533-position model. The record is from RNAcentral.
CGGAGGGUGCAAGCGUUAUCCGGAUUCACUGGGUUUAAAGGGUGCGUAGGUGGGUUGGUAAGUCAGUGGUGAAAUCUCCGAGCUUAACUUGGAAACUGCCAUUGAUACUAUCAAUCUUGAAUAUUGUGGAGGUUAGCGGAAUAUGUCAUGUAGCGGUGAAAUGCUUAGAUAUGACAUAGAACACCAAUUGCGAAGGCAGCUGGCUACGCAUAUAUUGACACUGAGGCACGAAAGCGUGGGGAUCAAACAGGAUUAGAUACCCUGGUAGUCCACGCCCUAAACUAUGGAUACUCGACAUACGCGAUACACUGUGUGUGUCUGAGCGAAAGCAUUAAGUAUCCCACCUGGGAAGUACGAUCGCAAGAUUG